This is a long non-coding RNA of Quercus lobata, 495 nucleotides long. RefSeq lists it as uncharacterized. The record is from RefSeq and is a predicted model, not a curated record. NCBI's taxonomy places the organism in Eukaryota, Viridiplantae, Streptophyta, Magnoliopsida, Fagales, Fagaceae. The transcript is spliced from 2 exons.
AUCUCUUCAUAAGAAUUUCGGACCGUUCUCUGCUCUGCCCUGCUUUCCCGUGAAAACGGAGAGGGAAAGAAAAUUCGGCCAAACAUGGCACCGCAGCUAUUAAAGCUUCCCAUUGGCAGUAUCUCAUGCUUGCUUCAUACCACUCCAAGCUUGUCUUUUCUUUCUCUUUCCAAAUCUCCAAAGCUUUCUGUGAGGUGGGUCAAAGCCCAAAUUCACAGUCCCUUUAGAAGCUAUGCUGUUGCAAGUUCAGGAAAGCUUCAACCACCAAAGAAGUAAGCUUUUCUAGCUCCAAUAGCAGUUUGUUAAUUUGUUUCUGUUAUUCAGUAUUUUAAAAUGUGAUAUGGGUGAUUUGUACAGACGAUUUACAAUAACAAUUGUGUAAGAAUCAAUGCUGAUAUGUAUAUGGUGCAUGAAUCUACUACUUCUGCACUGUUUGUAUGCGAGGAAAAUGGAAGGGAGAAGAGAUGAAAGUUGAGGAUUUCUUAUGUUUUGACU